CAGUAGCCACGGGAAUACAGAGGGUGCAAGCGUUAAUCGGAAUUACUGGGCGUAAAGCGCGCGUAGGUGGUUUGUUAAGUUGGAUGUGAAAUCCCCGGGCUCAACCUGGGAACUGCAUUCAAAACUGACUGACUAGAGUAUGGUAGAGGGUGGUGGAAUUUCCUGUGUAGCGGUGAAAUGCGUAGAUAUAGGAAGGAACACCAGUGGCGAAGGCGACCACCUGGACUAAUACUGACACUGAGGUGCGAAAGCGUGGGGAGCAAACAGGAUUAGAUACCCCCGUAGUCCCUGUCUCUUAUAC
RNAcentral lists this ribosomal RNA (301 nucleotides) under uncultured bacterium. RNAcentral describes it as "partial 16S ribosomal RNA". It matches the Rfam family "Bacterial small subunit ribosomal RNA", at positions 509 to 807 of the family's 1533-position model. The record is from RNAcentral.